This 1682-nucleotide ribosomal RNA is filed under the name Shigella sonnei. RNAcentral describes it as "partial 23S ribosomal RNA". It matches the Rfam family "Bacterial large subunit ribosomal RNA", at positions 1253 to 2915 of the family's 2925-position model. Lineage: Bacteria; Pseudomonadati; Pseudomonadota; Gammaproteobacteria; Enterobacterales; Enterobacteriaceae. The record is from RNAcentral.
AAGGUGUGCUGUGAGGCAUGCUGGAGGUAUCAGAAGUGCGAAUGCUGACAUAAGUAACGAUAAAGCGGGUGAAAAGCCCGCUCGCCGGAAGACCAAGGGUUCCUGUCCAACGUUAAUCGGGGCAGGGUGAGUCGACCCCUAAGGCGAGGCCGAAAGGCGUAGUCGAUGGGAAACAGGUUAAUAUUCCUGUACUUGGUGUUACUGCGAAGGGGGGACGGAGAAGGCUAUGUUGGCCGGGCGACGGUUGUCCCGGUUUAAGCGUGUAGGCUGGUUUUCCAGGCAAAUCCGGAAAAUCAAGGCUGAGGCGUGAUGACGAGGCACUACGGUGCUGAAGCAACAAAUGCCCUGCUUCCAGGAAAAGCCUCUAAGCAUCAGGUAACAUCAAAUCGUACCCCAAACCGACACAGGUGGUCAGGUAGAGAAUACCAAGGCGCUUGAGAGAACUCGGGUGAAGGAACUAGGCAAAAUGGUGCCGUAACUUCGGGAGAAGGCACGCUGAUAUGUAGGUGAAGUCCCUUGCGGAUGGAGCUGAAAUCAGUCGAAGAUACCAGCUGGCUGCAACUGUUUAUUAAAAACACAGCACUGUGCAAACACGAAAGUGGACGUAUACGGUGUGACGCCUGCCCGGUGCCGGAAGGUUAAUUGAUGGGGUCAGCGCAAGCGAAGCUCUUGAUCGAAGCCCCGGUAAACGGCGGCCGUAACUAUAACGGUCCUAAGGUAGCGAAAUUCCUUGUCGGGUAAGUUCCGACCUGCACGAAUGGCGUAAUGAUGGCCAGGCUGUCUCCACCCGAGACUCAGUGAAAUUGAACUCGCUGUGAAGAUGCAGUGUACCCGCGGCAAGACGGAAAGACCCCGUGAACCUUUACUAUAGCUUGACACUGAACAUUGAGCCUUGAUGUGUAGGAUAGGUGGGAGGCUUUGAAGUGUGGACGCCAGUCUGCAUGGAGCCGGCCUUGAAAUACCACCCUUUAAUGUUUGAUGUUCUAACGUGGACCCGUGAUCCGGGUUGCGGACAGUGUCUGGUGGGUAGUUUGACUGGGGCGGUCUCCUCCUAAAGAGUAACGGAGGAGCACGAAGGUUGGCUAAUCCUGGUCGGACAUCAGGAGGUUAGUGCAAUGGCAUAAGCCAGCUUGACUGCGAGCGUGACGGCGCGAGCAGGUGCGAAAGCAGGUCAUAGUGAUCCGGUGGUUCUGAAUGGAAGGGCCAUCGCUCAACGGAUAAAAGGUACUCCGGGGAUAACAGGCUGAUACCGCCCAAGAGUUCAUAUCGACGGCGGUGUUUGGCACCUCGAUGUCGGCUCAUCACAUCCUGGGGCUGAAGUAGGUCCCAAGGGUAUGGCUGUUCGCCAUUUAAAGUGGUACGCGAGCUGGGUUUAGAACGUCGUGAGACAGUUCGGUCCCUAUCUGCCGUGGGCGCUGGAGAACUGAGGGGGGCUGCUCCUAGUACGAGAGGACCGGAGUGGACGCAUCACUGGUGUUCGGGUUGUCAUGCCAAUGGCACUGCCCGGUAGCUAAAUGCGGAAGAGAUAAGUGCUGAAAGCAUCUAAGCACGAAACUUGCCCCGAGAUGAGUUCUCCCUGACCCUUUAAGGGUCCUGAAGGAACGUUGAAGACGACGACGUUGAUAGGCCGGGUGUGUAAGCGCAGCGAUGCGUUGAGCUAACCGGUACUAAUGAACCGUGAG